This 377-nucleotide unclassified non-coding RNA is filed under the name uncultured Oligoflexales bacterium. Its description in RNAcentral is "contains 16S-23S intergenic spacer region". Lineage: Bacteria; Pseudomonadati; Bdellovibrionota; Oligoflexia; Oligoflexales. The record is from RNAcentral.
UCCGGUUUAACACCGGCGGUCUUCCUAGAGUGCCCAACUGAAUGGUGGCAACUAGGAACAAGGGUUGCGCUCGUUAAGGGACUUAACCCGACAUCUCACGAUACGAGCUGACGACAGCCAUGCAGCACCUAUCACCCGGUCUCCGAAGAGAAAGCCCCAUCUCUGGGGUUGUCCGGGGAUGUUAAACCCAGGUAAGGUUCUUCGCGUUGCAUCGAAUUAAACCACAUGCUCCACCGCUUGUGCGGGCCCCCGUCAAUUCCUUUGAGUUUUAAUCUUGCGACCGUACUUCCCAGGCGGAGCACUUAAUGCGUUAGCUGCGGCACUGCAGGGGUCAAUACCCGCAACACCUAGUGCUCAUCGUUUACAGCGUGGACUAC